ACGGGUGAGUAACGCGUGGGAACAUACCUCUUGGUUCGGAACAACACAGGGAAACUUGUGCUAAUACCGGAUAAGCCCUUACGGGGAAAGAUUUAUCGCCGAGAGAUUGGCCCGCGCCUGAUUAGCAAGUUGGUGGGGUAAAGGCCUACCAAGGCGACGAUCAGUAGCUGGUCUGAGAGGAUGAUCAGCCACAUUGGGACUGAGACACGGCCCAAACUCCUACGGGAGGCAGCAGUGGGGAAUAUUGGACAAUGGGCGCAAGCCUGAUCCAGCCAUGCCGCGUGAGUGAUGAAGGCCCUAGGGUUGUAAAGCUCUUUUGUACGGGAAGAUAAUGACGGUACCGUAAGAAUAAGCCCCGGCUAACUUCGUGCCAGCAGCCGCGGUAAUACGAAGGGGGCUAGCGUUGCUCGGAAUCACUGGGCGUAAAGGGUGCGUAGGCGGGUUUUUAAGUCAGAGGUGAAAUCCUGGAGCUUAACUCCAGAACUGCCUUUGAUACUGAAAGUCUUGAGUAUGGGAGAGGUGAGUGGAACUGCGAGUGUAGAGGUGAAAUUCGUAGA
This 557-nucleotide ribosomal RNA is filed under the name uncultured bacterium. RNAcentral's name for it is "bacterial SSU rRNA". It matches the Rfam family "Bacterial small subunit ribosomal RNA", at positions 102 to 694 of the family's 1533-position model. The record is from RNAcentral.